GGGAAUUGAUGGAAACAGCAUUACUAAUGAUUCAGAAUGUUAAGAAGAGAAAAUCUGAUUUUCCACUAAUCCCCUGUAGACGCACUCUAACUGACUCCUCUGCUUCUUGAAGGCUCAACCCCAUUUCCUCCAAUUCUUUCCCAACCUUGACUGAUGUCUUUGUUUGACUUCAAUACCAGUAAUUCGACAUCAAGAGCUUUCAAUUUUCCUUUUGUUUAGAAAUGAACGAAAAGAUUGACUCAAAACACUGCAACUGUAAUUUCCUCAGCACCUUUUAGCAUGCUUUGAGCGACAGUUGAAUUAAGUAAUCAAGACUUUCAUACAACUCUUCCAGGCUACCCAAUUUGUGACGUAUUGAUAGUGAUUUGAAUUCUUCAACUUGUAAAGCUGUUCUUCAAUGCAUUCUGUUAGAGGAUGAGAUCCAGAGGGCAAGCUGAUCGAACGGAGAUGAAAAAGCAGCCAGUUUUCUAUUUCUGCAAAGGCAAAGGAUAUCAAGAAAGUGA
RNAcentral lists this long non-coding RNA (503 nucleotides) under Ricinus communis (castor bean). RNAcentral's name for it is "long non-coding RNA (RCOM_LNC002984)". Lineage: Eukaryota; Viridiplantae; Streptophyta; Magnoliopsida; Malpighiales; Euphorbiaceae. The record is from RNAcentral.